GCAUAUGACUGAUGAUAGAGUUUGAUGAGUUCUCCAUGACCUCUGUCUAGUCAGGACUCACAAUAGAGAGAUUGUAUUACACGAUAACUACAUCUAAGGAUUCAUCUUUUCUAUUCUACUAGAUUGCCACUACAUGCUGUUAGGCAUUACUAGUGGAUCGUGAGAACUCACUAGAAUCAUUUUCAGAUCAACAAUCCUUAUUGAGAUGAGU
RNAcentral lists this long non-coding RNA (211 nucleotides) under Elaeis guineensis (African oil palm). RNAcentral's name for it is "long non-coding RNA (EGUI_LNC055942)". Lineage: Eukaryota; Viridiplantae; Streptophyta; Magnoliopsida; Arecales; Arecaceae. The record is from RNAcentral.